This 497-nucleotide ribosomal RNA is filed under the name uncultured bacterium. RNAcentral's name for it is "partial 16S ribosomal RNA". It matches the Rfam family "Bacterial small subunit ribosomal RNA", at positions 28 to 507 of the family's 1533-position model. The record is from RNAcentral.
GAUGAACGCUGGCGGCGUGCCUAAUACAUGCAAGUCGAGCGAACGGACGAGAGGCUUGCUUCUCUGAUGUUAGCGGCGGACGGGUGAGUAACACGUGGAUAACCUACCUAUAAGACUGGGAUAACUUCGGGAAACCGGAGCUAAUACCGGAUAAUAUUUUGAACCGCAUGGUUCAAAAGUGAAAGACGGUCUUGCUGUCACUUAUAGAUGGAUCCGCGCUGCAUUAGCUAGUUGGUAAGGUAACGGCUUACCAAGGCAACGAUGCAUAGCCGACCUGAGAGGGUGGUCGGCAACACUGGAACUGAGACACGGUCCAGACUCCUACGGGAGGCAGCAGUAGGGAAUCUUCCGCAAUGGGCGAAAGCCUGACGGAGCAACGCCGCGUGAGUGAUGAAGGUCUUCGGAUCGUAAAACUCUGUUAUUAGGGAAGAACAUAUGUGUAAGUAACUGUGCACAUCUUGACGGUACCUAAUCAGAAAGCCACGGCUAACUACGUG